This 463-nucleotide ribosomal RNA is filed under the name uncultured Geothermobacter sp. Its description in RNAcentral is "bacterial SSU rRNA". It matches the Rfam family "Bacterial small subunit ribosomal RNA", at positions 920 to 1382 of the family's 1533-position model. The record is from RNAcentral. Lineage: Bacteria; Pseudomonadati; Thermodesulfobacteriota; Desulfuromonadia; Desulfuromonadales; Geothermobacteraceae.
CCCGCACAAGCGGUGGAGCAUGUGGUUUAAUUCGACGCAACGCGAAGAACCUUACCUGGGUUUGACAUCCCUGUCGUAUUCCAUGGAAACAUGGGAGUCAGUUCGGCUGGACAGGUGACAGGUGCUGCAUGGCUGUCGUCAGCUCGUGUCGUGAGAUGUUGGGUUAAGUCCCGCAACGAGCGCAACCCUUGUCCUUAGUUGCCAGCAUUCAGUUGGGCACUCUAAAGGGACUGCCGGUGUCAAACCGGAGGAAGGUGGGAUGACGUCAAGUCCUCAUGGCCUUUAUGUCUAGGGCUACACACGUACUACAAUGGCAGGUACAAAGGGCAGCGACACAGCGAUGUGAUGCGAAUCCCGAAAAGCCUGUCUCAGUCCGGAUCGGAGUCUGCAACUCGACUCCGUGAAGUUGGAAUCGCUAGUAAUCGUGGAUCAGCAUGCCACGGUGAAUACGUUCCCGGGCCUU